RNAcentral lists this ribosomal RNA (448 nucleotides) under uncultured bacterium. Its description in RNAcentral is "bacterial SSU rRNA". It matches the Rfam family "Bacterial small subunit ribosomal RNA", at positions 355 to 825 of the family's 1533-position model. The record is from RNAcentral.
UGGGGAAUAUUGGACAAUGGGGGCAACCCUGAUCCAGCGAUGCCGCGUGAGUGAAGAAGGCCUUCGGGUUGUAAAGCUCUUUUGGCAGGGAAGAUAAUGACGGUACCUGCAGAAUAAGCCCCGGCAAACUUCGUGCCAGCAGCCGCGGUAAUACGAAGGGGGCUAGCGUUGUUCGGAAUUACUGGGCGUAAAGGGAGCGUAGGCGGCUCUAUAAGUUGGAUGUGAAAGCCCCGAGCUUAACUUGGGAAUAGCACUCAAUACUGUAGAGCUAGAGAGUGAUAGAGGAUGAUGGAAUUCCUAGUGUAGAGGUGAAAUUCGUAGAUAUUAGGAGGAACACCAGUGGCGAAGGCGGUCAUCUGGGUCACUACUGACGCUAAGGCUCGAAAGCGUGGGGAGCGAAACAGGAUUAGAUACCCUUGUAGUCCCUGAGCGGGCUGGCAAGGCGCAU